CCGCGUCUAUCAGCCUAUCGAGACUGCCAAACCAAAAGCCUUACUUUAUGCCCCAGCUGCCCAAGCCCUAUUUGUGGUUGCGCCUCAAUCUGACUUUCCCGUCUAUCAGUACGUCCCUCUCGCCUUCCAUUCAGUAUUGAAACACUCUAUUAUUAUUACGGUUUACUUGUAUUGAUGCCAAUUCUUCUUUUCAUUUAGAAUAAUG
This 205-nucleotide long non-coding RNA is filed under the name Musa acuminata (dwarf banana). Its description in RNAcentral is "long non-coding RNA (MACU_LNC001279)". The record is from RNAcentral. Lineage: Eukaryota; Viridiplantae; Streptophyta; Magnoliopsida; Zingiberales; Musaceae.